GGCUCAUUAGCUUAAAGGUAGAGCAUCCCCCUUCAAGAAAACUUUUAAAUACAAGAGUUUUUUUGAAGGGGAGGAUUCCAGUUCAACUCUGGAAUGAGCCACCA
RNAcentral lists this transfer RNA (104 nucleotides) under Serratia marcescens. RNAcentral describes it as "tRNA-OTHER". It matches the Rfam family "tRNA". From Rfam's summary of the family: Transfer RNA (tRNA) molecules are approximately 80 nucleotides in length. The record is from RNAcentral. Lineage: Bacteria; Pseudomonadati; Pseudomonadota; Gammaproteobacteria; Enterobacterales; Yersiniaceae. RNAcentral also lists the same sequence under 1 other name.